Molecule: long non-coding RNA, 1526 nt
Filed under: Olea europaea subsp. europaea
Lineage: Eukaryota; Viridiplantae; Streptophyta; Magnoliopsida; Lamiales; Oleaceae
Source: RNAcentral
CCCGUCACUGUGAUCUUCCACCUUAUCAGGUUGGGAUGACCUCAUUAAAAACCUGCAACUAACACCCGGGCCUUCAAGAGGGCGUCGAAUUUCCAUAUUUUCCUGUACCAAGCUGAGGUGAGCAAAGGGCCACCUGGAUUGUUCCCCAUGAAAGACAUUAGGAGGUACUUAAUUAUAUGAGUUUUUUUUUAUGUUUUAGUAAGUAUUUAUCUAUUAAAUAAAUUCGGAUUUUAAUUCUAUUUAUUUUGAAUUUAGGAAUUUAAUUAUCGUCAUUAUCUUCUAAUUUUAAUAAUUAUCUAGAUUUGAUUAGUAGUUAUCUAAAUUUUAGUUAUUUCUUUAAAUAAAGGUUGUUGGAGCAUCUCCAAAAAACUUUUUAAAUACAAUAUGUUCUUUAUUUUGAAGAGAUAAUUCUUAAAAAUAAACUUCAAAACACUCUCUAUUUUAACUUUUAGUGGUCUCUAAUGUAAAUUACAGGAAUUACUGCACAGUUCAAAACACAAAUAUGCUUUUAUUUACCACUCUCUCUUUACAGUUGUAUCUUGAUUAAAGUCAUCUUUAUGUGGCCAGAUAUCAGUAAGUCAAAUGCAAAUACACUGUUAGUUUUGUUUUUUGCAGUUUCCGAACUCAAGGACCUCAUUUGUUCAGGAGGUUUGUGUGGAGAUAUGUAGCAUAUCUAUAAAUGCUUAACAUAUGAGUCCAUAAUCCAGGCUAAAUAAUCACUCGUGUGAUUAUUGAGUAAAAAUGCAGCUCCUUUUUGAACCAGUUCUUAUCCAUAGAGGUAAAGGGAAGUUUAGUUUGAAAAGGCAGAAAAAUCAUUGAUUGGAAAUUACUUGCAUCUAUCUGUACUUUUGGAAUGUCCUUCGGAUAUUGUUAUUUAGUUGGAGUAGUUUCUUUUGGUAUAAAUAUUGACUUGAAAGUAUCAUGCUAUGGAGUUGUUGCAGCUGCAUAAAUUGAGUAUACAGAAGGAAAAUGCUAAUUUUUUUGAAGAAACUUCAUAUUUUCUUCCGUCCCACCUCUUUUGGCUAUAUUCAGUUGAUGUUUACUCAGAUGUAAUAAUGUCUCUUUGUAGGGUUGCGGAACUUCACUGAAAAAUAUCCCAUCAAGGGAAGAACUUUUUCAUUGAGAAUUGUAUCAAAUAUCACAAAAUUAUCGUUUCUUUUCUUUUGUUCCGAUUUUUAUUUUUGGUGCAGAGAGAAUCAUGGACAACAUUACUGAUAUUGGCUUACCAUAGUUCGGGUGUAGUGUAUGGGGAUUUAAGCAGUUCACCUUUGUUUGUUUUCAGUACUUUUGCAGAGGACCUUUAACAUUCAGAGUCUAAUGAGGAGAUUUAAAGGAUUUUAUCUUUUGUAUCUUUGGCAUCAACUCUUAUUCCAUUGCUUAAGUACGUUUUUAUAGUGAAUAGAGCGGAUGAUAAUGGUGAAGGUAGGACUUUUGCUUUGUAUCUCUACUCUGCCGCCAUGCUCAAGUGAGUACUCUACACAACGGACAGCUGGCCAAUGAGGAUUAGUAAUAUUACGAAAGAGAGG